UAAUAAUAAAGGCCAUGCCCCGUUUUAAGUGUUUUAACUCCCGAUCACCGCUACCCUUUCCGAUUGAUCUGGAGCCCCAUAACGCAUGUCAAGACUCUGCCCGACUAAGUUCGUUAGGGUUCUAUCUCGUGACAUAAGGACAAGGUUGAAUUAGGGUUAUUAUACUUAACACGAGUGUAAAUAUAUAUAUACUACUUUAAUAAGCAUAUAGGAAGGACAGAAAUGGUCAUUUGCCACUUUACAAGCAUUUGAAGCCCAUUGUACAACCUUUAAAGCAUGAAGGUGUUGAAAAAUCCUUCUACACGAGGACCAGCUUUAAAGUUUGUUGAACCCAAUUUUGGGCGGCCAACUUUUGUUCAAAAUUCGAAUUCCCGCUCAUCCCCACUUCCCCAUACAUCCAGUCUUUUCAUUUCACAUCAGUCUCUUCCUUUCCUUCUCUCCUCCUCUUAAAACCAUCUCCAAUUCUCAAUUUUCUGUACGCAUGAUCCAAUUUCUCCAUGGCUAUUCUUGCAAAAUCCCUAGAUUCCAAAAUAUUGAGCCACGAUCUGAACAAAACCAGCUUCAGAUCUAAACAAAACCACCCACGAAAAGGUUUGCAACGGUGAACAGAAUCCCCUCUACUCCAUGGUUUCAGCCGUCACUGAUGACACUCCAGGUUCUUCCCUUCUCUGGUUCCAGAGAUGACUAUGGUGGUGUCACGGAAGAGGUUUGCAACGGAACAACUGUGCUGGAACCUUUGAAGAUCGACGAUGACGGCGGCGGUUAGGGUUCCGGUUCUUCCCUUAUCUGGUUCCAAAGUGACACCGUUCUUUUGAAUCACUGGAUUUCAUUUACAUUUGUUUGUGUUUUUAAGAUGGAUCUUUGUUUUUUCUGUAGGUCAUGGUUUAAAGAACAGGUAACGGUUUGAGAAGAGUUCAAAUCUCAGAUUCUUAGUUUUUGAGUUUCUUGAAGAACCCUAAUUGAUUUGGUUUUGUUUUCAUGGAGAUUUGAUUUGCUGAAAGAUCAAGACCACGACCAGUUACGCCCCUGAUGAUGAAGAAGACGAAGAUGACGUUGAUGGUGAGUUAUGUAUCAGAGAUUCAGAGCAAGCCCUAACCCUAGAUUUCAAUAACGUCAUCCAAGCAAGGUGAACUCAAAGAUUGUUUCAACAUGACAACAAGAAACUUUGAUCUUGUAAGAUACCUAGAAAGGUGGUAGGAAGUUGCUUCAUUUAAACAUGGAUUUGUUGGUCAAGGUCAAGAGGAUUUCCCUCUGCACCCAGGUAUAUAGAUCUCGCUAAUGCUGCAAAAGAAAAAUACCAGAUGGAAGGUCAGCUAUUUCAAGAGAGAGAACUCAUAGGUGUCGGCAUCAGAGAUGAACUCUAGACGCGAGAUCACAGGGUUGCUUAUGGUCAGCUUUCUGGUUGGAAUCACAAAUAUUGCACCAGGUGGACUCAAAGAUUGUUUCAACAUGACAACAAGAAACUUUGAUCUUGUAAGAUACUUAGGAAGCUGGUAUGAAGUUGCUUCAUUUAAACAUGGAUUUGUUGGUCAAGGAAAGAGGAUUUCCUCUGCACCCAGGUAUAUAGGUAUAUUCUAAAGGUAAUUUUUGAAAUUAACUAGUUUUUAUAAAGGUGACAAACUGAGCAGGCUAGGCUGGCCAACUAGGUAAUGGGUAAAAAGGUACUUUUUUUUUGUUUUCCGAAUCACCUAAUGAGUAGGGUUGACAUUAGACACUUUCGUUCUAAAGUUCUGACAUUAAACACCUAAAGUUUGUACUCAAAUCAGUCCUAAUCAACACAUUAUUGGUUCUAAGUUUUUAAUUUUACUAGCAAUACUGAUAAAAACAGGUUAACGUAACUUGUUUUUUUAGUGCUGAUUAAAUUUAUUUAAUUGUUUGUGCAGGGAGCCAAAGGGGUUUGGUUCAACCUGAUCCAUUUCCAGUUAUAUAUACAUAUAUACGCACAAUUUAUUUCAGUUUCAUUUUUCAUAUAACCAAUCUUACCCGACCCGACCAUUCGUGUGUUGUGGCGAGCGCUGUUGGGUUGCAGGUUUGUGUUUGGCUUCAAAUCUCGAUUAUGGUCUGGUUCGAGAGUAUCAAAGACUUGUUGGAAUAUGUAGCGAAGCAGAGAAUUACCAAAGCAAAGAGAAGACUAAGCGAGGCAGUGUUUUUUUUUUUGGGUAAAGGGAGGCAGUGUUUAUGUUAACAUGGUGGAGAAUAUGAAUGAGCCGCAAUGAAAAGGUCUUUAAAGGAAUUACUACUUGACUUGUCAAAAGAUGGUGGAUGCCAUUAAGAAGACAUCGUUUUGGUGGAUUCUAAAUAGAUCCAAAUGGAAAAGUAUUUAAUGGGAUGCUUGGAACCGACACUUGGGAGGAGUCUUUUUUGAAUAAUUUUGUUGCUAGCUCUGUAUGUAGGUUUUGUUCUGCUGGGUGUUUUUGGUUGUAUGUUACAGGUUUCCUUGUAUUGUUGUUUGUAGUUUUGGGGCUCUCUUACCAGGGUAGGUGUGUUUUAAUGAAAUUUUGCCUCGCUUGCCUUUCAAAAAAUAAAAUAUAAGAACAAGUUUUACUAUAUAGACAAAAAUCCAUGGCUUAUGAACACGAUGGUUUUUAAAAAAUUAAAUUUAAGCA
This is a long non-coding RNA of Helianthus annuus (common sunflower), 2606 nucleotides long. RefSeq lists it as uncharacterized. Lineage: Eukaryota; Viridiplantae; Streptophyta; Magnoliopsida; Asterales; Asteraceae. The transcript is spliced from 6 exons. The record is from RefSeq and is a predicted model, not a curated record.